Molecule: ribosomal RNA, 253 nt
Filed under: uncultured bacterium
Lineage: Bacteria
Description: partial 16S ribosomal RNA
Rfam family: Bacterial small subunit ribosomal RNA
Source: RNAcentral
CACGUAGGGCGCGAGCGUUGUCCGGAAUUACUGGGCGUAAAGGGCUCGUAGGCGGCCAACUAAGUCAGACGUGAAAUCCCUCGGCUUAACCGGGGAACUGCGUCUGAUACUGGAUGGCUUGAGUUUGGGAGAGGGAUGCGGAAUUCCAGGUGUAGCGGUGAAAUGCGUAGAUAUCUGGAGGAACACCGGUGGCGAAGGCGGCAUCCUGGACCAACACUGACGCUGAGGAGCGAAAGCCAGGGGAGCAAACGGG